Molecule: transfer RNA, 72 nt
Filed under: Cordylochernes scorpioides
Lineage: Eukaryota; Metazoa; Arthropoda; Arachnida; Pseudoscorpiones; Chernetidae
Description: tRNA-Gly
Rfam family: tRNA
About the family: Transfer RNA (tRNA) molecules are approximately 80 nucleotides in length. Their secondary structure includes four short double-helical elements and three loops (D, anti-codon, and T loops).
Source: RNAcentral
CCAUCGGUGGUUCAGUGGUAAGAAUGCUCGCCUGCCACGCGGGCGGCCCGGGUUCGAUUCCUGGCCGAUGCU